GCCUAGUGGUUAAGGCUAUGGAUUGCCAAUCCGGAGACGGCGGGUUCGAUUCCCGU
This is a non-coding RNA of Aedes albopictus (Asian tiger mosquito), 56 nucleotides long. The record is from Rfam. NCBI's taxonomy places the organism in Eukaryota, Metazoa, Arthropoda, Insecta, Diptera, Culicidae.